Non-coding RNA from Myotis lucifugus (little brown bat), 74 nucleotides. The record is from Rfam. Lineage: Eukaryota; Metazoa; Chordata; Mammalia; Chiroptera; Vespertilionidae.
GGCAGUUCUCGGUGAUGCACCCCAGAAUCAGGCUCCCUCCUCUCUGGUUCCGGGUGUGUCACCAGAGAGCCGCA